AACGCACAUUGCGCCCUUUGGUAUUCCUUAGGGCAUGCCUGUUCGAGCGUCAUUUACAAAUUCAAGCUCAGCUUGGUGAUGGGUGUCUGUCCCGCCUUUGCGUGUGGACUCGCCUCAAAUGCAGUUGGCAGCUUGUUCCUCGACUCUAAACGCAGCAGAUUUGCGUCGAGCGUUGGGCGGACGGGCUCUCCAGUAAGUAAAUUUCACAAAUUGACCUCGGAUCAGGUAGGGAUACCCGCUGAACUUAA
RNAcentral lists this unclassified non-coding RNA (248 nucleotides) under uncultured Lophiostomataceae. RNAcentral's name for it is "sequence contains ITS2". The record is from RNAcentral. Lineage: Eukaryota; Fungi; Ascomycota; Dothideomycetes; Pleosporales; Lophiostomataceae.